This 795-nucleotide long non-coding RNA is filed under the name Parus major (Great Tit). Its description in RNAcentral is "lncRNA (ENSPMJG00000015122.1)". The record is from RNAcentral. Lineage: Eukaryota; Metazoa; Chordata; Aves; Passeriformes; Paridae.
CUAGAGAGCAGCAAUCAGGAGCACAACACAGUAAUUCUCAUUUACAAUUUUUUUCAUAUUCUUCUGCAGAUUUUCCAUGAGAUGGGAGAGCAGUUCAGAAGCUGUGGAUCUGCUGCUGCUGCUGCAGAAGACUACUUCACAAGAAGAUAAGCUUUGAGCCUUCAGAGAUUUGUAGCCAUUCAUGUUUAAGAAUUUUAAACAAGAAGAAUGAAGGGAUGGAAAUAAACAACUUUACAACAAUAUUAGACAAAACAGAGCACCUGAGCUCUGGGGUGAUGUUCACUGAAAUGAAAGUCAUCAGCUUUUCAAGGCAAGAACAGCUAUACCUGUCACAGAGAAACACAAGUUCACUGAUGCUUUCAGUCUUUGGACCUCCACUGAUCCAAUUGUUUAUGCCACACUAGUCAGAUCACUGAGACUGUCCUGAUGUCACAAGCUAUUCAAGAGUGGAAAAUUAAUUUUAAAAUUUUAAAUUUAAAAAUUUAAAAACUGCUGAUGAGUUGAACAUUAUCAGUUUUAGGGCAGAUUUUGUACUGCCCUGCACCUGCGUAGUCCUUUAUGCUGACACAAUGUGAAACUCACAUGCUUUCAAGUAAAGCCUGAUGUAAAUGAGAACACAGACUAAUGGAGAAUUAUUGUGGCUUUUUUGUCAAGGCUUUUUUGUGCCUUAGUUACCUCUGUGAGCAAAACUAGCAAUAGGCAAAAAACCCCUCAACACACCCAAAAAACCCCAAAGCCAAACCAAAACAAAAUAGCCUAAAACAAAAUAAAACCCCCAAACCUGAAGAAACUGCA